AGUGAACGCUGGCGGUAGGCCUAACACAUGCAAGUCGAACGGCAGCACAGGAGAGCUUGCUCUCUGGGUGGCGAGUGGCGGACGGGUGAGGAAUACAUCGGAAUCUACUCUGUCGUGGGGGAUAACGUAGGGAAACUUACGCUAAUACCGCAUACGACCUACGGGUGAAAGCAGGGGAUCUUCGGACCUUGCGCGAUUGAAUGAGCCGAUGUCGGAGUAGCUAGUUGGCGGGGUAAAGGCCCACCAAGGCGACGAUCCGUAGCUGGUCUGAGAGGAUGAUCAGCCACGCUGGAACUGAGACACGGUCCAGACUCCUACGGGAGGCAGCAGUGGGGAAUAUUGGACAAUGGGCGCAAGCCUGAUCCAGCCAUACCGCGUGGGUGAAGAAGGCCUUCGGGUUGUAAAGCCCUUUUGUUGGGAAAGAAAUCCAGCUGGUUAAUACCCGGUUGGGAUGACGGUACCCAAAGAAUAAGCACCGGCUAACUUCGUGCCAGCAGCCGCAGUAA
RNAcentral lists this ribosomal RNA (506 nucleotides) under uncultured bacterium. RNAcentral's name for it is "partial 16S ribosomal RNA". It matches the Rfam family "Bacterial small subunit ribosomal RNA", at positions 29 to 523 of the family's 1533-position model. The record is from RNAcentral.